UCUGCGAUAAGCGCCGGUAAGGUGAUAUGAACCGUUAUAACCGGCGAUACCCGAAUGGGGAAACCCAGUGUGAUUCGUCACACUAUCAUUAACUGAAUCCAUAGGUUAAUGAGGCGAACCGGGGGAACUGAAACAUCUAAGUACCCCGAGGAAAAGAAAUCAACCGAGAUUCCCCCAGUAGCGGCGAGCGAACGGGGAGGAGCCCAGAGCCUGAAUCAGCAUGUGUGUUAGUGGAAGCGUCUGGAAAGGCGCGCGAUACAGGGUGACAGCCCCGUACACAAAAGCGCAUGUGCUGUGAGCUCGAUGAGUAGGGCGGGACACGUGGUAUCCUGUCUGAAUAUGGGGGGACCAUCCUCCAAGGCUAAAUACUCCUGACUGACCGAUAGUGAACCAGUACCGUGAGGGAAAGGCGAAAAGAACCCCGGCGAGGGGAGUGAAAAAGAACCUGAAACCGUGUACGUACAAGCAGUGGGAGCCCCACCACCAAAGCAUUUGCUGUACCGCGUUGACGGAGCGAAGCGACGUCAAACCGAUAAAACAGCAGUGUAAAGUGAGCCGCAGGGCGCUUUGCGCGACAGCGCAAAGG
Molecule: ribosomal RNA, 586 nt
Filed under: Salmonella enterica subsp. enterica serovar Enteritidis
Lineage: Bacteria; Pseudomonadati; Pseudomonadota; Gammaproteobacteria; Enterobacterales; Enterobacteriaceae
Description: partial 23S ribosomal RNA
Rfam family: Bacterial large subunit ribosomal RNA (bases 1-461)
Source: RNAcentral